Molecule: ribosomal RNA, 497 nt
Filed under: uncultured bacterium
Lineage: Bacteria
Description: partial 16S ribosomal RNA
Rfam family: Bacterial small subunit ribosomal RNA
Source: RNAcentral
GAUGAACGCUGGCGGCGUGCCUAAUACAUGCAAGUCGAGCGAACAGAUAAGGAGCUUGCUCCUUUGACGUUAGCGGCGGACGGGUGAGUAACACGUGGGUAACCUACCUAUAAGACUGGAAUAACUCCGGGAAACCGGGGCUAAUGCCGGAUAACAUUUAGAACCGCAUGGUUCUAAAGUGAAAGAUGGUUUUGCUAUCACUUAUAGAUGGACCCGCGCCGUAUUAGCUAGUUGGUAAGGUAACGGCUUACCAAGGCAACGAUGCGUAGCCGACCUGAGAGGGUGAUCGGCCACACUGGAACUGAGACACGGUCCAGACUCCUACGGGAGGCAGCAGUAGGGAAUCUUCCGCAACGGGCGAAAGCCUGACGGAGCAAGCCCGCGUGAGUGAUGAAGGUCUUCGGAUCGUAAAACUCUGUUAUUAGGGAAGAACAAAUGUGUAAGUAACUGUGCACGUCUUGACGGUACCUAAUCAGAAAGCCACGGCUAACUACGUG